ACUUUCUGCCAUAUCUCACAUAUAUGAACCGCAAACCUUUAAAGAAGCCAUAACUGACCAGAAUUGGAGGAAUGAUAUGGAUACAAAACUUCAGCCAUUAGAAUCAAAUGAAACAUGGCAAUUAGUUUCUCUUCCUCCUGGAAAGAAGGCUAUUGGGUGUAAAUGGGUUUAUAAAGUGAAACUUAAGUCAGAUGGUAGCAUUGAAGGAUAUAAGGCUCUAUUAGUUGCAAAGGGGUAUACAUAGCAAGAAGGUAUUGAUUACACCUAGACUUUUUCUUGUGUAGCUAAAAUGGUUACAGUUAUUACCAUUUUAGCACUUGCAGCCAUAAAUGAUUGUGGUCUCUUUCAAAUGGAUGUAUAUAAUGCCUUCCUUCAAGGAGAUUUGAAUGAGGAAAUAUAUAUGAAGGUUCCUCCAGGUCUGAAUAAUCAACUUGAGACCAAAAAUAAGUUCUACAAACUAUUGAAAUCCUUAUAUGGUCUAAAACAAGCUUCCAGACAAUGGCAUCACAAGUUUACCACUACACUAUUAGAGUAUGGUUUCCUAUAGUCUAAAAAUGACUACUCGUUAUUCACUAAGACUCAUAGGAGCAGUUUGGUGAUCUUUUUAGUGUAUGUUGAUGACAUACUGCUAACAGGUAACAAUCUUGCAGCCAUUGAUGAAGUCAAGUGAUAUCUCAAUGCCAAAUUCAGAAUCAAGGAUUUAGGCAUCUUGAGAUACUUCCUCGGGAUGGAAAUUAGUCACUCACGAGCUGGUUUGGUAAUAAACGAGCUGGUUUGGUAAUAAAUCAACGAAAAUAUGCACUGGGACUUCUUUCUAAAACUGGUUUGCUAGGUUCUAAACUAAUUGACACUCCAUAUGAGCAACACCUCAAAUUGACGACUGUUGAAUUGGAUAAAUUAGUUGGCACUUGUACAAAUGAUCCACUCCCAAAGGAUGCUUCUUCCUAUCAAAGAUUAGUAGCUAAGAAAUUUCAUUUGGAAGCUGCUCUCAGAGUACUACGAUACAUCAAACAGAGUCCUGAAGGUCCUUAACAGGUUAUUGUAUCAAGUUUGGAGAAUCUUUAAUUUCCUGGAAAACAAUCAACUGUUUCCAGAUCAUCCUGUGAGGCUGAAUAUAGAUCAAUGGCGUCCACUUGUUGCAAGAACGUAGAUACAAAGUUUGCUCCUUGAUUUGGGCAUCAAACUUCUGCUACCAACAUUAUUGUACUAUGACAAUAAAGCUGCCCUACAUAUUGCUGCUAAUCCAGUAUACCAUGAAUGAACCAAACAUGUUGAGAUUGACUAUCAUCUGAUCUGGGAAAAGAUUGAUCGCAAAUUAAUUAAAACUACAUACAUCUCUACCAGUGAACAGCCUGCCGAUUUGAUGGCCAAGGGAUUAUGCAAGCAACAACAUCGCAUUCUCAUGUCCAAGCUUCGUAUGUUUGAUGUUCAUCAAUCAUUACCAGCUUGAGGGAGGUAUUGGUUAUAUUAGUGUUUAUUACUACCGUAGUUUUUGUUACUGCUGAAGUCCAAGUGUCAUAUUGUAAAUUGUUGUAAUUAGUUAUUUAAAAGAGUUGUAGUAGUUGUAAAAACAGAGAUGAGUUGACCAAAUAAAUUUUUC
Pistacia vera is the source of this 1600-nucleotide long non-coding RNA. RefSeq lists it as uncharacterized. The transcript is spliced from 3 exons. The record is from RefSeq and is a predicted model, not a curated record. Lineage: Eukaryota; Viridiplantae; Streptophyta; Magnoliopsida; Sapindales; Anacardiaceae.